GAUAAUAUGGCUGAGAAUUAAGCGAUAAAUUGUAAAUUUAUAAACGAGGUUACUCUAUUAUCA
Molecule: transfer RNA, 63 nt
Filed under: Leiodidae sp. BMNH 1274772
Lineage: Eukaryota; Metazoa; Arthropoda; Insecta; Coleoptera; Leiodidae
Description: tRNA-Tyr
Rfam family: tRNA
About the family: Transfer RNA (tRNA) molecules are approximately 80 nucleotides in length. Their secondary structure includes four short double-helical elements and three loops (D, anti-codon, and T loops).
Source: RNAcentral